UACGGAAGGCAGCAGUGGGGAAUAUUGGACAAUGGGCGGAAGCCUGAUCCAGCCAUGCCGCGUGUGUGAAGAAGGCCUUUUGGUUGUAAAGCACUUUAAGCGAGGAGGAGGCUACUAGUACUAAUACUACUGGAUAGUGGACGUUACUCGCAGAAUAAGCACCGGCUAACUCUGUGCCAGCAGCCGCGGUAAUACAGAGGGUGCGAGCGUUAAUCGGAUUUACUGGGCGUAAAGCGUGCGUAGGCGGCUGAUUAAGUCGGAUGUGAAAUCCCUGAGCUUAACUUAGGAAUUGCAUUCGAUACUGGUCAGCUAGAGUAUGGGAGAGGAUGGUAGAAUUCCAGGUGUAGCGGUGAAAUGCGUAGAGAUCUGGAGGAAUACCGGAUGGCGAAGGCAGCCAUCUGGGCCUAAUACUGACGCUGAGGUCGAAAGGCAUGGGGAAGGCAAACAGGAUUAAGGAAUAACC
This 463-nucleotide ribosomal RNA is filed under the name uncultured bacterium. RNAcentral describes it as "bacterial SSU rRNA". It matches the Rfam family "Bacterial small subunit ribosomal RNA", at positions 340 to 787 of the family's 1533-position model. The record is from RNAcentral.